UAAUGAUAAUAAAAAUUAAAAUAUUUAAAAUCUUUCAUCAAGACCCAAAAGAAUAGGGUUACGCCAUAUCUAUUGAGUUGAGUAUAUGAUGUUGGACCCAAGACAAUCGAUUUUUACCUUAGACCCAAGAUAAUCAGGCCAUUUGCCAUGACCCAUGCGCCAUGUGGCACUUGGGCACACCUGAGCGCCACCCUGGCGCUU
RNAcentral lists this long non-coding RNA (201 nucleotides) under Populus tremula. RNAcentral describes it as "long non-coding RNA (PTRE_LNC001016)". The record is from RNAcentral. Lineage: Eukaryota; Viridiplantae; Streptophyta; Magnoliopsida; Malpighiales; Salicaceae.